Molecule: ribosomal RNA, 254 nt
Filed under: uncultured bacterium
Lineage: Bacteria
Description: partial 16S ribosomal RNA
Rfam family: Bacterial small subunit ribosomal RNA
Source: RNAcentral
UACAGAGGGUGCGAGCGUUAAUCGGAAUUACUGGGCGUAAAGCGUGCGUAGACGGUAGCGUAAGUCAGAUGUGAAAGCCCCCGGGCUCAACCUGGGAACUGCAUUUGAGACUGCUCUGCUCGGGUGCGGAAGAGGGAAGCGGAAUUUCCGGUGUAGCGGUGAAAUGCGUAGAUAUCGGAAGGAACACCAGUGGCGAAAGCGGCUCCCUGGUCCGACACCGACGUUCAGGCACGAAAGCGUGGGGAGCAAACAGG